AUUGAACGCUGGCGGCAUGCCUUACACAUGCAAGUCGAACGGCAGCACGGGUGCUUGCACCUGGUGGCGAGUGGCGAACGGGUGAGGAAUACAUCGGAACAUGUCCUGUAGGGGGGGAUAGCCCGGCGAAAGCCGGAUUAAUACCGCAUACGAUCUACGGAGGAAAGCGGGGGCCCUUCGGGCCUCGCGCUUUGGGGUUGGCCGAUGGCUGAUUAGCUAGUUGGUGGGGUAAAGGCCUACCAAGGCGACGAUCAGUAGCUGGUCUGAGAGGACGACCAGCCACCUUGGGACUGAGAAACGGCCCAGACUCCUACGGGAGGCAGCAGUGGGGAAUUUUGGACAAUGGGCGAAAGCCUGAUCCAGCAAUGCCGCGUGUGUGAAGAAGGCCUUCGGGUUGUAAAGCACUUUUGUCCGGAAAGAAAUACUUGGCCCUAAUACGGUCGGGGGAUGACGGUACCGGAAGAAUAAGCACCGGCUAACUACGUG
This 486-nucleotide ribosomal RNA is filed under the name uncultured bacterium. RNAcentral's name for it is "partial 16S ribosomal RNA". It matches the Rfam family "Bacterial small subunit ribosomal RNA", at positions 29 to 507 of the family's 1533-position model. The record is from RNAcentral.